Nematostella vectensis (starlet sea anemone) is the source of this 7383-nucleotide long non-coding RNA. RefSeq lists it as uncharacterized. NCBI's taxonomy places the organism in Eukaryota, Metazoa, Cnidaria, Anthozoa, Actiniaria, Edwardsiidae. The transcript has 3 exons. The record is from RefSeq and is a predicted model, not a curated record.
GAUGUGAUAAAAAGGGUUGCUUUGGCAUUUGUAAAAAUGUGUGUAACCUGACAAAUUAUUUUUUGCUGCAAAGCCACCAUGUGGUACACAACCCCCUUUUUGGGUAUAAGGGUUGUACAGCCAAUGGUUUGUAUAUAAUUCUAACUCUGUUUAGGACAAAAAUCUGUGAAAUUGCAACGCCUUAUUUCUCAAGACAAUUACCAAAUUUUAAUACCCUGUUUAGGACAAUGAUGGCAAUUUAAUUUUACAGAAGGAUAGUGAUAAUAAGGCUUAAAGGAGCGUCACGGUAAAUCGCAAGACGGGAAGCCAGUGUACUAAUUUUCAAAAUAGCCAAUCAGAGACGUCCAAAACCAAUAUUGGAAGGGAAUCGCGCUAGUUUAUCGUACAGUUUGAUAUGACUUAAACCCCCUGAGAAAUCUCUUAUUUCUUGAUGAAAUAAGCGGCAAUAUGUUUUCAGCUCUUGGAGGCUUGGUCCCUGGAGGCCAUAUAAGGCAAUGCUGUGGUUGGUAUUCGAUGUUUUUUUUUGUUGUAAAUUACGGAGUUAAACGCUUCGGAGCUUUGCGUUGUUGAACAAAUAAAUAACGCUUCUCUCUACUAAAAAAAUAUGUCUAACUUUGCCGGUUAUUCUUCCAAGGUGAUGACAAUAAACAAGCGUUUGUAUGUAGUAUUUGAGUCCCCGGGGUCCUGUGGUGGGGUUCCCGAAAUGUCAGGCGCGGCCGCUAAGCAAGUAAACAUACACUAGAAAAUGGCGGGCAAUCAAGAACGUGUUUUAGCGAUCAGCACUGUUUUUCUUUCGCUAGCAGCUUUAGCAGCAUCGUUCCAAAGCUGUUCUUUUCUUUUAUCGCUUUUAGUAACUCAACAUCGCCAGAAUCUCCAGGCAAUUGCCCACGCUACGCAUCAAUACAAUGCUGCUGUAGCACGGCUUUGGCGCGUUUGAAGAGCUGCUCGAAGACGAGUAAAGUUAUCGCAAAAUCAACAGGAUCAAUGCAUGCGCAUGCGCACUAGAGAGAAAUUCAAUGCAAAGAAACGAAAUGGCGGCCCGAAACGUAUAAACUCAUGGGGAUCUUUGAAGGCUUCUCACACUUGUAUUAUUGUAUCGUGUUAACCUUCGUUGGAUUAUCUUCACGAAAUUGCGAAAUAUAAGGUCUUGGCUGCAUAGAUAAGCUCGCCACUUCUUCAAAAGGCUCUUAGAUAGAUAAUGAAGAAAUUAAGCCAUAGUAUUUUUUUUAUGGUUCAUAUGAAAAUUUAUACGACGUUCUUGAAGUUGAAAAAGUGAUACCGGGCCAAACGAAGAGGGGAACAUAGGUUCUUUCAUGUUUUGUAUGCGCGUUUGAGCCCAAGAUUACGGGAGGUGAAGUUUCAAAGGAGCAUAAAAUACCUGUAUUUCUGCAGGCCAUCGCUUCAUGUUAGAUUAUUUGCAGUUAGAAAAAUCGCGACAGGGUUCGGUACUUAGUUACGGCUGUGACCAUUUCAUUUGGUAAGUUCCAAUAUCCAAAGGUUAUUGUGUGUGUUUCAAACCACUUGUGUUUCAACUACUACUUUUUGGUGUGAUCAUUUACAUCAGUAUAACAGACUGAUGUAUGAUAAUAAUAGUAAGCCCCAUAUAACUAUAUGGACAAAUUCAGGGGUUUGGAGCCACCUGUAUUUAGCCAAUGGAUAGGGGGUGAUGGUAAUAGGGAAUAAAGAAUUUGAAGACCAAAUCUAAACAUACAGCAUUGAUUUAAAUUUCUUUGAUGGUGUACCACCCCUUAAGUCAAAGCUCUUACAUUUAGCACCAUCUUCCCAUUUUAUUGGAUCAAACUAUCCCUCAAACCAGCCCCACCUCCCCUGCUUAGAUCUGCCCCACCCUCCGUGUUAACAGAGGACUUUCUCUUUCUCUCUGUUAGCAGGGAACCCCUGAAGACUAACAUGCAGGUAAUACCUCUCUUACAUCUUGUCCCAGCCCACAGAGAUAUAUCAAAAUGAAAAUGUGACCUUUUUUAAAUCAGAGUAUCACUAAAUAUAAAGUUAAUAAUAUAAAGUGGCCCUCUAAACAUGACAUGAACACAUGCUAUGCUAUUAUGAUUUUUACUCCUUUCAAGUUAGUUAAAAACUAUUGGCUCCAGAGGGGAAUAGGAGUCUCAUUUGAGAAGGUAUUGCUUACAUGCUCUAUGUUUUCAUGCUCUUUUAAAAUAAAAAAAAUGUGGUUGUGAGGAGGGGCAGGUAAUAAGGCCUUUGCUGUAUUAUCACUGGUAAUGAUGGCCUACAAGGUCUAGCUAAUGAAAUAAAUAUAUUUCUGAAUUGCAAGGAUUACUGGAGUAUAACUAAAUAAAUUUGUAAUACUGUUCUUAUACUACUUGUUUUAAAAAACAACCUAAAAAAUAAAAAUAUAUACAAGACAUGUCUAGUAUUGUUCUAUGAAAUAAUUGCAAAGUAUAACAGCCAUUGAAAUAAUACCACGCUGUGAGAAAAGGUUUCCACAACAGCUAUUCUUUUUUCUUUCAAUCACUCAAUGGUAACACAUUUUGCAAUCUGGUAUGAAUAAAAGGUUAUCUUUACUCAUAAAAGCAUUUUUUUAGAAAAAUAACCAGGGGUAUAAGCAGAUUUUUGUAGAAAAUUUAAAAACUGCAUAUAUUUUAUGAUAUAAUAAAUGUAUUAAUUGGUUUAUACCCCGCAAACGACAGCCCAGCGGAAUACAGAGAAAAAGGCCUCUGCUAGCAUGGUGCUUGGUUUACUACAGUCAGAUCAUAUUAGGAGGGCCAGGGAGACUAGUAACAAUUGAAAGCUCUCCUCACAGAUAAUGCCUCUUGUCUGGCAAUGGAACAUUCACAGGGGUUGAUGGUAGGGAUAGUGUUGUUAUUUGCUUAACAUCACAAAACAGCGAUAGAUCAAAAAGCAGUAUGGUUGUAAAUUGUUCCUCAACAUUACUUAAAGGAUUAAAAAAGUUGUAGGGGAGAACAAUCUGGUAUAUUCAUUACACAAUGGUAAUGUAUUCUCAUUUAAAUGCUGUAUGUCAUAAGCUUUGCUUGACUGAGAGCUUUCCAGCUUUUUUAGUGAAUUUUAAGCAACAUUAUUCAUGUAUUUACAUUCCACUGAAUGAGAAGUUUGAUUUGGCAGUUUUCCAUCCAACUUACACAACCAAUGACCCCAAAGAUCAUAUGGCCACCAAGCUUCUGGACAUGGGGAUUUGCCAGUUCACUUGGGGGGAUGGGCGGAGCUACUCCAUUUAGGAUUUUGGUAUCCAAAAAUCUUUUGAGAUUGAACUAUUAUAAAUAUAAUUAACAACUCAGGGAAUGUAUGUUAUCUUUUGGGUUGUUGUUUUGCCUUUUGGGUCAAAUUAUCAGGUUAAUUAUCAUAUGGGUGUGCCUGUUUGUUGAUAGAUGCUUUUAAAAAAUGAAUAAAUUGUAAAGAGUUAAUAUAAUAGUGUUUUGCUUUGGUUUCUAUUUCUAUUCUAUUACAUUUGGGUAUUUACAGUUAAUUGAAUUGUAGACCUUGAUAUAGCUAAACUUUACCAACAAAUACACAAGCACCAAGAACCUGGGUCAGAAAAACAACAACAGUAAAAGUCAAUAAAAGUAAUCUUUUUUUUCCUAUUCAAUAAGUAAUUACUAAUAGUUUAGUAGGGGGAGACAACCGUUCUGAAAAGAACAGUUAGAAUCUGCGUUCGCCCAAAUUUCCGAAUCUUUGUUUCACAAGAUAAGCUGGUCAAUAUCUUUGGCGAACUUAGAGGUUUUAUUAAGUCAGAGAUUUUAAUAAUAAUAACGGUACAGAAAAUUUGUGACAUUGCUUACUACAACAGUACCUCGGCUGGUUCCGGAAAUCUCACCCGCUUUUCACUUCAAAAUUUGAUACCAACAGGUGAGGCGAAAAGUCAAUAGCCGUAGUAUCUAGUCAGUAAUGAAGUUAUAAUGAAGUUAAACUAUUUUCAGCGUGAUCUCAUAGGAACAGUUAAGCUGAUCUUGAUGAUUUUCUUUACGAAACAAUGUCUUCAUGCUUGUUUUCGCGCCAUGUUGCGGUCAUUCUUCUCAUUGAUAGCAGAAAAUCCGGAAAAUGUUUAGCGAAUCGGUAGCAGAUAGCCUUUUGAAUCCUUCCAAGGCGUUUCUUAGUUAAAUCACAUAGGAAAUAUUAGUUCUUUAUGUUUUAAUUUGCUUUUUAUCGUCAUAAAAUUAGCCAAAUUCCUGCCAACAAUCGUGAAAUCCGCCAUUCUCGAAUCCGCUAGUCGCACUUUGACAACUGCGCAUGCGUGACAUUUUUUGAUCCUGUCGGCAAAAUCCAGGUCGAACAGAUCAAUGGUGGAUUAACCUAUACAAUGCCAUUUUACCUCUGUGCGAGUGGAAGAAGAAUUUAAGACUAGAUCGUGAAGGUUUUACGUCUGUAGCUGAUGAAUUGCGCCCAUUUCUCAACCAGGCAGGAGUCCAAGAGGCAUGCAUGUAAUUUCAGUCCCAAGUGUUAUUUACGCCUGUUGUGUCUUCCAUAAUAUUUGUGCUGCGAGGUAUAAAUAUUGAUGAUGAUUUGGUAGCACAUCAAAACGCACAUGAUGCAGCUGCACAACCUCAUAGCCCACCUGACCGGCUGUACUCGUUUAACACUGCAGAAGGUGCUUAUGUACAGAAUAUAAUAACAUCCUACUACAAAGAACACAUCCCUCACUGUUUUUAUUACCCUAUAUUUGAACAAAAUUGAAACAACCACAGUGCCAAAAUCAAGACGGAGGUGGGGGAUAGAUUUCAGAUACAUUUCAAAUUGGUGCCCAUUCUUGGGUGACUAACCACCAGUAUGCUGAAAACUUGGUUCCCCAUAUUGAUUAGAUGCCAAGCCAUUGCCCCUGUACAUGUUACCAUGGUGGUUGAAGUAUGGUGGUGCUUGAACCGGCUGUGAGGCAGCAAGUGCUUGUGCAAGAAUCUCCAUACCAGCAGCAAUCCCUUCACCAAAUGAUGACAGACAGUCUGUCAUCAUUGUUAUCGAGCCCUGGUCACUAUUUUGCCAAAGGUCUCAUCCUCGGUCAUUCUCUUUCCACCAUCCUCUGGUUCCGGGACGGGUCUUUGUAGCACCUCAAGAGCUGAUUGUAGAAUUUAAAUUUUCAUAUCUGCAGCGGUCUCUCGGUCUUUGCGCUUGCGCUUUGAGUAGAUAGUUUUAUUUCCGGUGCUACAUUUCCGGUAAUCUCUUCACUCCAAGUACUCAUCGACGGAUCAACUUCGCUGGAUGAUGCAGUGAAGCUCAUCUGCGAGUAAAACUUCCACUUAGACUUGUAAACUUGUGGUGUUCCAGCCCCAGACUUCUUACUGCCCUCCUCCCUCUUCUUCUCGUGGUUGAACACCGUCGUCAGUGUGUGCAACAGUGUGUUUGGCUCUUAAUGCACUAAGCAAUAACAACUCCCUCGACGUACCAUGACUUUUCGCCAUAAUCGAAAACCAUUUGCAGGUACAACAUCGUCAAAAGGAAAAGAAACUUCUUUAAGCUUGCUUUCGAUAUCUUCAAUCGAACGUAGUUCGCUUUCUUACUCCAUAUUUUGGGACUUUGAUACAUAGAUAACCGAUUGGAUGUAAACAAAAUGGCGAACACAAAGCGCCCCAAAAUACAAGUAAGUCCGCCAAAAUGUUAAGGGGAAACCGCUGGAUUACGGUGAACGUAUUUGUUUAACACAGGAAACCCAAACCUAAGAGAACCACGAGAACUAACAGAACCAAAUGCACCAAGAAUACAUUACACCGACGAUCAGCCCUCUUCAAUUAAUUAUGCGAUUAUUUUAAAGGAGUUCUAUGAAAAAGGAAAAGAUAGAAAAGUGACGUCAAACUAGAAAAAAUAACUCAAUCUUUUUAUUUAUUCUAUGAAUGAAGAAAAGAUAGGUAAGUGGUGUCAAACUAGAAAAAAGAUAACUUAAUCUUUUUAUUCAAUUCUUUUCUUAAAAUAUUUAAAUGUUUUAAAAACAGUGUAUUUAACAACUAGAUACUUAUUUUGUCUAAAACAGACUUAAGCUGAUCCAAGCUAAUGUGUUUAAAUGCAUUUAUACUAUUCCUAUUCCAUAGCCGUGGGUUUCUAAUUAGCAAGCGCGAGUCCCUUCUUUUGUCUCUAUAAUAUUGGCCUGGUAUUUACUUUAUUGUCCUAGGUUCACAAUAGGCGCGGGCGUUCGGUGUCUAAUUACUGCGCUAGCUCCCGUUCUAUUGUUCUUUUACGUUUUCUCUUUCUAAGAAUAAAUUCUUCUGAAAUGCAAAUCAUCGGAAAAGUCCUUAUAAACUGCUCGGCGCGAGUAAGGUGUCACCACUUGGCCGAAAGAACUCCAUACAAAUAGAUCAACCAAUACUUUUACACUAACUAUGGCUAUGCGAAAGCAAAUGAAAAUUUUUAAGCAGGGUCUGUUUUUUUUCGAGAGCGACAAAACACUUUGUCGUCUCCCGACUAAAAAAGUUAAGAAAGUGAUGGAGGGGGAGGAUCAACGAAGUUGGGAGCAUCGUUGAGGUCGACUUCGACGGGGAGUUGUGAGAGGCUGAGAUUGUCGCUCUCAGCGACGACCCUACUGUUCUUCGCCAAGAGGUAGAAAAAUUCAUUAGGGAAAACAGUGACCGGUUUGAGCAACUUAAUGAAAAAAAGAGGGUUAGACAAGAAGGCAAAGGCGGGUCUUCUAAGAACAAGGAGUCGAACUGCGGACGAAAAAAGAAAAAAACAAGAGAAGAGGCUACUGUUGUUGCGGUUUACAGCCCGACAAGCACAGUACCCCCCGCCACCAAAGAGACAGUCGCCUACCAAUCGCUGAGACCUCGAUAGAAGCCUCGCCUGCUCAAUCCAUCUCCUCCUACUUGUCCCCGUUUGCUAGACGGUCUUUGUACAGUCCCAUCCGCCCCCGAUACAACAGCCCGCCGAGAGUGGACAAGAUAGCAGACCUGCAAAACUCGAUACAGCAGAUGGAGUUGACCCUGUUCAGGCACGGCCAACAGCUAAACCGCAUCGAGGCCAUGCUGAAGGAUAUACAGGGCCAGCAAAGCGUCAGCCACAGCCUGCAUACAACUAUCUUAGAUUCCCGUUGAAACAACUCAACCCCACCCCCACCGCCACCAUCAGCAACAUCCACUCCAAUGGCGUGCAGCGUCCAGAACUUCGCUGUGCGGCUUCUGAGGGAGCGAUGCUCCAAGGAAGAGUUGGUGGGGAGAAAUUUGGCUGGUGCCCGCGGCAAACCUAUGGUCAACGCCGACAAAAUAGCAGAAAUAAAAGAAACUGUGUUUGUCCACUUUCCCACCGCCCCUUCAGCGUGUGAAGCAGUCUGGCGCCAGUGCCACAAGACAAUGGACGCCUACCUGCGACGACUGACCUCAAGUGAAAAGUAACUGAAAAUGUAUUUUAUAACCGUAUCUUAUGCUUCUGUAAUUGUAAAUCUUUAGAAAUUGUUAUAUUAAAAUAAUUUUGAUAAUG